This 1134-nucleotide long non-coding RNA is filed under the name Vigna radiata. Its description in RNAcentral is "long non-coding RNA (VRAD_LNC014153)". Lineage: Eukaryota; Viridiplantae; Streptophyta; Magnoliopsida; Fabales; Fabaceae. The record is from RNAcentral.
UUGGGUAACAUAUUAAUGCUAGCUCCAGAGUCUAUCAUGGCUUCCCCCACAUCACACUCAUUCAGAACACAGGAGAUUGUUAAACAUCCUGGAUCUUCUACUUUAGGUGGGUGCUUUGUCUUUUGAGGUCGAUCUACAAACUCCUCUUCUUCUUUAGUUAAUUCAACUCCCUCUUUCUUUUCUGGCUCAAUAACGUCUUCUUCAGGAUCCUCUUCUUCAUCAGUGAGUUCAAUUCUUUCUUCCUUUUCUGGCUCAACAAUAUCUUCUUCAGGAUCCUCUUCUUCAUCGGCGAGUUCAAUUUCAUCUUCACUGCUUCCUUUCUUAUUGACGUCAUUAACAUCCAUCAUCUCCUCAUAUCCUUUUUCAUUGUUUUCAAAAUCAAUUGGCUCCCAGUCUGCCUUCCUUUUAUGGCUUGUUAGAAUAGCUUUGCACUCAUCUUUAGGGUUAACAUCAGUAUUAGCCCUAAACUAAUUUUUCUUUGUGGUUUCUAUUUUUUUUGACAGCUGCCCAAUCUGUGUUUCCAAUGACCUGAAGCUAGCUUGAUCACUAUUUAGUUGAGAUUCAUAGACUUUGAAGAAUUUAUCAAAUCGGUCAUUGAGGUCUCUGACUGUCUCUGUCAAGCUGUUGACUUGCUGCCAUAAAGGUGAUGGUUGUAUCUGCCGAAAGCCUCGUACAGGUCCAGAAGGAUUAUUCUAAUGUUGCCCAACACUGGGGUGAUUCUUCCAACCUUGGCUGAAACUGCCUUGGUUGAAAGCACCUUGCUUGUACGAAAACUGGGCUCCCAUGCAGUUAACAUCCUGCUGUAACUCCUCGGGAAACACAUUGACCAUUGAUAUGGUCUCCACCACAUAAGUUGCAAAGUUGUUGGGUUUGAGAAACGUUUCUUACCCCAAUUGGAAAUUCAGCAAGGAUCGUUGUCAGCUUGUCCAAUUUCUGGUUUAGGAGAUGAUUUUGGGCCACCAUCAUUAGCAGGGAGAUGCAAGAGUCCUCCCUUCUGUGCGCCUCUCUCACUGUGUACUACUUCACUCAUGGCCAUGCUCUCAAUCAGAUCAUAUGCCUCAUCUUCAGUCUUGGUAUUUAUGCUGCCUCUAGCGGAAGCAUCUAUCAUCAUUUUAGACUGAGUAUGGAGGCCCC